This 486-nucleotide ribosomal RNA is filed under the name uncultured bacterium. Its description in RNAcentral is "partial 16S ribosomal RNA". It matches the Rfam family "Bacterial small subunit ribosomal RNA", at positions 29 to 507 of the family's 1533-position model. The record is from RNAcentral.
AUUGAACGCUGGCGGCAUGCCUUACACAUGCAAGUCGAACGGCAGCACGGGUGCUUGCACCUGGUGGCGAGUGGCGAACGGGUGAGUAAUACAUCGGAACAUGUCCUGUAGUGGGGGAUAGCCCGGCGAAAGCCGGAUUAAUACCGCAUACGAUCUACGGAUGAAAGCGGGGGCCCUUCGGGCCUCGCGCUAUAGGGUUGGCCGAUGGCUGAUUAGCUAGUUGGUGGGGUAAAGGCCAACCAAGGCGACGAUCAGUAGCUGGUCUGAGAGGACGACCAGCCACACGGGGACUGAGACACGGCCCAGACGCCUACGGGAGGCAGCAGUGGGGAAUUGUGGACAAUGGGGGAAAGCCUGAUCCAGCAAUGCCGCGUGUGUGAAGAAGGCCUUCGGGUUGGAAAGCACUUUUGUCCGGAAAGAAAUCCUUGGCCCUAAGACGGACGGGGGAUGACGGUACCGGAAGAAUAAGCACCGGCUAACUACGUG